GCAGUGGUGGUUCAGUGGUAGAACUCUUGCCUUCCAUGCAGGAGGCCCAGGUUUGAUUCCUGGCCAGUGCA
RNAcentral lists this transfer RNA (71 nucleotides) under Trichechus manatus latirostris (Florida manatee). RNAcentral's name for it is "tRNA-Gly (TCC) (tRNA-Gly-TCC-33-1)". It matches the Rfam family "tRNA". From Rfam's summary of the family: Transfer RNA (tRNA) molecules are approximately 80 nucleotides in length. Their secondary structure includes four short double-helical elements and three loops (D, anti-codon, and T loops). Lineage: Eukaryota; Metazoa; Chordata; Mammalia; Sirenia; Trichechidae. The record is from Rfam by way of RNAcentral.